RNAcentral lists this unclassified non-coding RNA (314 nucleotides) under Hevea brasiliensis (rubber tree). The record is from RNAcentral. Lineage: Eukaryota; Viridiplantae; Streptophyta; Magnoliopsida; Malpighiales; Euphorbiaceae.
AAAUCUUUGGUUCAAAGUUUUGAUCAAGAAGGAUAUUGCUAGCAGUGAUAUUCCUGUGUAUGAUCUUUGGAUUACAGAUUUCAUGCAAAUAUGCCAAUCCUUUUGCAGAACCUAUAGCGAUUUUCAUUCUGGUUGGCCAAUUGAUAAUCAUUCUAUUCUGUCCGUGUAAAUUAUUUCGCAAGGAGUUGUUGGGAACAUACUCAUAUAUCAGCAAUCUAUUGGCUCUGUCAACACAGUAUCCAAUUAGCUUUACUAGAUGUUGGUGAUGGGCCAGGUUAAGCGUCCCAACCUCCGUUAGAAAUUCUCUUUCCCCC